AAUGCCCAUGCAUAAAUUAAACUAUGUUGUGUACGCACUGAGUAUAGUGUAGUGUGCUUUUUGGAAGCCAAAGUACAUUUAGUUAACCCAUGAAAUAGCACGCAAAGCAUCGUUCUUUUAAAAUUAACGCCAUGCUAUAAACAUAGUUGGCAGUUGCCGGACUGUUCAUGCCAUGUCUCCGUGUCAAUUACCUUAUUGUCAAAUCAUAUUCAAACAAAAAGUCUACAACCUAAACCCUGUUUAAAUUAUAGCAAAGUGAAACUGACGGACAAUAAUUUAUUCGAUUUUAAUGCUUGAAAUGAACGCUUUCAGACGUGUAAAUACAAUGUUGAUUUUACUGCUAAGUGCCACAUGAAAUAAGAAAAGACAAAAGAAAAUAAGGCGAAG
Molecule: non-coding RNA, 387 nt
Organism: Paramuricea clavata
Lineage: Eukaryota; Metazoa; Cnidaria; Anthozoa; Malacalcyonacea; Plexauridae
Source: the annotation of a GenBank genome assembly